GAGAUUAUUGGUACAGACCAGUGAUGUCAGCAAUGAGCUUGAUAGCGUGACAAAGUGGAAGUGGUGAAAAGCAAAUACUAGCCAGUGAACACUCAGGUAGUAGACAGAUGUAUAGUUACAGAUCUUCCUUAUUACGCAUAAGCUUCAUUAAUACUCAAUGCAAAUAACUUCUUCCAUCAUUCUCGCCGCACAACUGAAAAACACAAGAGCGUAUCACCCAGGUGCCAGUGAGGAAUUCACAGGCAACAAACUGCAAAAGAGACAUAUUUUAAAUGUGAAAAUGAUUUCGAUCUACGUGAUCACAGUAGCUUUGGCAGUGACUGCUGUGGGACAAAGGUCUUCAGAAUGCAAUCUAACUGAACCUGGACCCCAGACGUGUUUUGGAGUUUUAGGAGAACCACUCGUUUUUUACAUACCUACUAAACCACAUGUGAAGACAAGCUUGAAAAAGAGUACAGAAAAAUUUUUAACCUUAAUAAGUGAUACAUUAAUUAGUCUCAAUGAAAAAUACAAGAAUCGUACUAUAUUUUUCCCAAAUGGUACAUUGAAGCUCGAAAAAGCAACAAAACAUGACUCUGGAGAGUACAGCAUGGAAACACACAGUUCUACUGACGGUGUGUUAUUGCACACAGUUAACAUCCAUCUACAUAUACUAGCUCCUGUGUCAGAACCAGCUGUAUCUCAGGUGUGUUUGUCACGCAAACAGAUGACAGUCAGCUGCUCCUCUGAAGGAGAUGAAGUAGAGUUCACCUUGUUUUUGGAUGAUAACUUGUUGAUACAGCCUACAGCCAACAGUACAGAAAACAACAGCGUUUCAAAUGUUACCAUCAACUUACCUGGUCAGCUGAUGGGAAACCUGACAUGUGUUGCUCAAAACAUUGUCAGCAGAGAACAAACAAUCAUCCACCUUACAAGCUGUGCAGCUCUUGUGUCAAAACCUGCUGUAUCUCAGGUCUGUUUGUCACCAGAACAAAAGACAGUCAGUUUUUCCUCUGAAGGAGAUGAAGUAGAGUUCAUCUUGCUUUUAGAUGAUAACCUGUUGAUAAAAACCCAACCCAAGAUUGCAGAAAACCACAGCAUUUCAAAUGUUACCAUCAGCGUACAUGGUGAACUGAUGGGAAAGCUGAUGUGUAUCGUUCAAAACAAUAUAAGCAGAGAACAAACCGUCAUCCACCUUAUAAGCUGUACAGGUUUGUAUUUCAUGGAAAUAUAAAAAGUUUUUAUCUAUAGCUUCCACCUGUAUGGAUAGGUUGGCUUUCAGAAAUUUAACAGUCUGCUGUAUUAAAAGCAAGGACAAAUCUAGUACAGCGAAUUGUUGUAACUCUUUAUGUACCAUCCAGCAUUUACAUGAUCUCAACUCUUAAAGCAUUCAUAUUUGAUUUUUCUAGGUACAAAUUCUCCAGUUUCUGUGGUGAUUGUGGUUGUACUAACAAGUGUUGCCGCUCUACUUCUCACUUUACUUUUUACUGUUAAUAAAGAUGUUGCUGUAAAUAACAUUUUUUACUCCAAAAUUGUAUAUGAAGAAAACAUCACUCACACAAAGGCCACAGCCAGAUGAGGGAGUCAGUCUGAGGGCUUUCUUAUUUGGAGGAAACAGUGCGAACCACCACGCCACCAUGCUGCGUCUGCCCAUACAUUAUUACUUAUUUACAAGUCUGC
Astatotilapia calliptera (eastern happy) is the source of this 1659-nucleotide long non-coding RNA. NCBI's taxonomy places the organism in Eukaryota, Metazoa, Chordata, Actinopteri, Cichliformes, Cichlidae. The record is from Ensembl.